CUCAGUCUCCUCUUCUGUGUUGUUUUUUGGAUUAGCACAAGUGAAGAGUUGCAUUAUCAAAACAUUUGCUUUGAAAAGUUGAAAGUUUGAUUUAUUUACUUGUAUCUGGUGGUGGUGGCAGCCUGUGUUAUUCCAAGGAAGCAAUGGUAAAAAGGAGGUCAGUGUUGGAGAGACAUCCUGAGACUCAUAGUAAACAUACCAUAGGUUGCUUUUCUCCGAACAGAUCUAUUCCAGCCUCCACAAACACACCAACAUCCAGCAACUGAAAUCAUUUUAAAAGAAUAAAUAAGGUUAAAUUGGCAGUGUGCAUCCAAGGAGGAGAAGUCAGUAUUUGGACUCUCUGUAGCCAAACUGCAGAUCUGCCACAAUUUACUGUACAUUUUUCUGCUUUUAAGAUGUACUUGCCAUCUGGAGUCAAACAGAAAAGCCAUAGCAGUUGGCUGCUGGAUGUGUAGCCAAAAGAAGAGGAAUUUGUAAAUAAUUGUGUCUGAAAUCUGUUAACUGGAGAGAAUAAAUGGAUAAUGAAGAAUACAGGAAGCCUCACAGAAAAUCCUUGUCUGUUUAAAUCAUUUGAGGUGGACUUCCGAACUGCUUCAUGAUAACUCUAUGGGAGCUGGACAGAAGAUAAAUCUGUGCAUUGGACUUCUGCUAUGGAAGCUACAGCUUUCCCUUCUCUGGAGGACACUGCGCAAUGAAAUGAUCAGUGGCAACAUUCACACUUUGUGUUCACCAAGUUCUUCAGCCUACAUCUUACACUCUGUACACUGGUGGGUGUCCAGUGCAGCACUGCACUAGACCAGAGCCCUGGGUCAUCACAGGUGCUGGGAACUGCUGGCAAAGAGCACCAUAAUGCAGGAGACUGUUCCAUUAGAAGAUAACAGGACUGCCAGCUAUCACUGCUUUGUUGGGAAUAACAUCUUAGGCAUGUUGUCUGUCUUCGUUUUCCAAGCCUCGGUACAGUGCAAUGUGCUUGGCUGCCAACAGCCAUUACUGACAGACUUUGGCUUCUGCCUUUCAGCAUGGACCCCUACCUCCAGUCAAACAGCUUGGAUUAUAAAUUUCCAGUGGAAAUGAUGGAAGUCCAUUCCUGCCAGCAGCAUCAACUGAAUGCUGACAGUGAAGAGAGGGGCUGGGAUCCUGCAGCUGAGCACACAAGAAAUGCAGCACAGAAACUGAGAAGUGUUUAGUUUCUCAUUCAGAAGGAGUCAAGAGAGGAAGUUUUUCAGUCCAGAGUGUUAGCUUUGAUUUGCUGAUAAAGAAACUGAUUGCUAUUGCAUCUGUUCCUUAGAGAGUGGGAAACAAAAAGGGAUAUAUUCCCUCUAAUUAGGAUUACAGCUAAACCUGGUUAUUAACUACUUCUAAAGGUAAAAACUUGAGUAUUUGGGCUAGAAAGAAUGAUGGGAUUUGAGCACGUCCUUCUCUUAUUUCAGACGUGGUCUCUGCUUUCAAUUCUGUGUUCAUUUGUUCCUUUAAUUUUUUCCCUCCUUUUUUUCCCUUUUGAGUGUGAGACAAGAGUAAUGUGUGCCCGUGGGAGGACUUGCAUUGUACAAGGGUUUCCACUCCAUGUUGGCAGACAAGUAGAUGCAGUUCUGGCAUCUCAUUUGUGCUCAUUUGGGUUUGUUUACUGACAGCAAACAAACAAAAAAUAAACAAAAAGCUGUGAGAUAGCAAAUUUUUUACUUGUACUUUUGCCAAGUACUUGUGUACUAUUUCUGUGCCAGAUUUUCAGUAACGAUGGCAUUAAACCAUACUCUCUUUUCCCUUUGGUCAUAACAAGUAAGCUCAUUUAUUUUUACUUAAAUUGGCUAUUUUAGAAAUGCUCUUAUGAGUUAACCCGGCUUCUCUUUUCUAGAAUAAUAUCAUGGUUGUGUGAUUAAAUCAAAAGAUCAUAUUAUAUAUAUAAAAGAUCAUAUAAGAUCAUCAUAUAAAAGAGAUCUUGUAAUGUAGAAUGAGGUAUUAAUUUCAUAAUGUAUUAAAGAUUUCUGUGUUUUUCCCUCUCUUUACCAUUGUAGUUUGUUUGGACAAAUUUCAAGGUUCUGAACUCUGGAUUUUUACGGUUUUUUUGAGAGGCUUAAAGAUCCUAUACAUCCAGCAUUCCUUUACCUGAGUAUUGUUCUCAAAUUUAAAUGUAUAGACCAUGAAAAAAGGAACUAAAAUAUUUGUAAACACGAGGAAAAAAAUAAAAGGAGUCUUCAAGAA
This is a long non-coding RNA of Zonotrichia leucophrys gambelii, 2199 nucleotides long. RefSeq lists it as uncharacterized. NCBI's taxonomy places the organism in Eukaryota, Metazoa, Chordata, Aves, Passeriformes, Passerellidae. The transcript is spliced from 8 exons. The record is from RefSeq and is a predicted model, not a curated record.